UACGUAGGGUGCGAGCGUUAUCCGGAAUUACUGGGCGUAAAGGGUGCGUAGGCGGUCUUUCAAGCCAGAAGUGAAAGGCUACGGCUCAACCGUAGUAAGCUUUUGGAACUGUAAGACUUGAGUGCAGGAGAGGAGAGUCGAAUUCCUAGUGUAGCGGUGAAAUGCGUAGAUAUUAGGAGGAACACCAGUAGCGAAGGCGGCUCUCUGGACUGUAACUGACGCUGAGGCACGAAAGCGUGGGGAGCAAACAGGAUUAGAUACCCGGGUAGGUCCCUGA
Molecule: ribosomal RNA, 277 nt
Filed under: uncultured prokaryote
Description: partial 16S ribosomal RNA
Rfam family: Bacterial small subunit ribosomal RNA
Source: RNAcentral